GCGGAUGUGGCGGAAUUGGCAGACGCGCUAGAUUCAGGUUCUAGUGGUUUCACAGCCGUGCAGGUUCAAGUCCUGUCAUCCGCA
RNAcentral lists this transfer RNA (84 nucleotides) under Subdoligranulum sp. CAG:314. It matches the Rfam family "tRNA". From Rfam's summary of the family: Transfer RNA (tRNA) molecules are approximately 80 nucleotides in length. Their secondary structure includes four short double-helical elements and three loops (D, anti-codon, and T loops). The record is from Rfam by way of RNAcentral. Lineage: Bacteria; Bacillati; Bacillota; Clostridia; Eubacteriales; Oscillospiraceae.